Long non-coding RNA from Gigantopelta aegis, 499 nucleotides. RefSeq lists it as uncharacterized. Lineage: Eukaryota; Metazoa; Mollusca; Gastropoda; Neomphalida; Peltospiridae. The record is from RefSeq and is a predicted model, not a curated record. The transcript has 4 exons.
UAAACUUAUAGUGCCUGGAAUUGUCUCCCUUUAAAUUGUGGCAGCACCUGUUUCCUGUGUUUCUCUUUCUCAAGAUCAUUGUAGAAGGGCAUUUUAUAAACAGAAGAUGUUUGAAUCAGGUCCGCCAAUGAAAUAUCCAUAUAGCCUAUCGGCUAAAGUUGCACAGUUUCCAUUUAAAUGGAUGUGGGCCAAUUCGAGAUUCCUGCGAUACUUAAGCUAUUCAUUGAUCGUCACUUUUCCACUCUACGUUUCAAUUCACCGAGCUGCCAAUUCUCCUGGUAAUGUUGACAAAUGGAAUCAAAUCAGAGAGGCAAGAAAACACUCACACUUUGAUCCUAUUCAUUAGUAAUACAUAACUUGCGGGUCUGGAUACCUGGACAGUGGGUUUUUUGGAUGAAUGUAUAGUGACUUUUCAGGACAAUUUGAAGCCCUUAUACAUGUUUACAGUGUGUACUAUUAAAAUAUUAAUUAUAGAAUAAACUAGUGAUUAAUUACUGAA